AACUUGCCUUACAGACUGGGACAACAUUUGGAAACGAAUGCUAAUACCGGAUAUUAUGCACUGAGUCGCAUGAUUUGGUUAUGAAAGCUAUAUGCGCUGUGAGAGAGCUUUGCGUCCCAUUAGUUAGUUGGUGAGGUAACGGCUCACCAAGACGAUGAUGGGUAGCCGGCCUGAGAGGGUGAACGGCCACAAGGGGACUGAGACACGGCCCUUACUCCUACGGGAGGCAGCAGUGGGGAAUAUUGGACAAUGGACCAAAAGUCUGAUCCAGCAAUUCUGUGUGCACGAUGAAGUUUUUCGGAAUGUAAAGUGCUUUCAGUUGGGAAGAAGUCAGUGACGGUACCAACAGAAGAAGCGACGGCUAAAUACGUGCCAGCAGCCGCGGUAAUACGUAUGUCGCAAGCGUUAUCCGGAUUUAUUGGGCGUAAAGCGCGUCUAGGCGGUUUAGUAAGUCUGAUGUGAAAAUGCGGGGCUCAACCCCGUAUUGCGUUGGAAACUGCUAAACUAGAGUACUGGAGAGGUAGGCGGAACUACAAGUGUAGAGGUGAAAUUCGUAGAUAUUUGUAGGAAUGCCGAUGGGGAAGCCAGCCUACUGGACAGAUACUGACGCUAAAGCGCGAAAGCGUGGGUAGCAAACAGGAUUAGAUACCCUGGUAGUCCACGCCGUAAACGAUGAUUACUAGGUGUUGGGGGUCGAACCUCAGCGCCCAAGCUAACGCGAUAAGUAAUCCGCCUGGGGAGUACGUACGCA
RNAcentral lists this ribosomal RNA (751 nucleotides) under uncultured Fusobacteriota bacterium. Its description in RNAcentral is "bacterial SSU rRNA". It matches the Rfam family "Bacterial small subunit ribosomal RNA", at positions 123 to 890 of the family's 1533-position model. Lineage: Bacteria; Fusobacteriati; Fusobacteriota. The record is from RNAcentral.